RNAcentral lists this ribosomal RNA (247 nucleotides) under uncultured bacterium. Its description in RNAcentral is "partial 16S ribosomal RNA". It matches the Rfam family "Bacterial small subunit ribosomal RNA", at positions 86 to 334 of the family's 1533-position model. The record is from RNAcentral.
AGAUGGCGACCGGCGCACGGGUGAGUAACGCGUAUCCAACCUGCCGAUAACUCGGGGAUAGCCUUUCGAAAGAAAGAUUAAUACCCGAUGGCAUAAUAGAACCGCAUGGUUUGAUUAUUAAAGAAUUUCGGUUAUCGAUGGGGAUGCGUUCCAUUAGGCAGUUGGUGGGGUAACGGCCCACCAAACCUUCGAUGGAUAGGGGUUCUGAGAGGAAGGUCCCCCACAUUGGAACUGAGACACGGUCCAA